RNAcentral lists this ribosomal RNA (218 nucleotides) under Bacillus sp. cl25. RNAcentral's name for it is "16S rRNA. Bacterial SSU". It matches the Rfam family "Bacterial small subunit ribosomal RNA", at positions 1 to 211 of the family's 1533-position model. Lineage: Bacteria; Bacillati; Bacillota; Bacilli; Caryophanales; Bacillaceae. The record is from RNAcentral.
CUUUAUUGGAGAGUUUGAUCCUGGCUCAGGAUGAACGCUGGCGGCGUGCCUAAUACAUGCAAGUCGAGCGAAUGGAUUAAGAGCUUGCUCUUAUGAAGUUAGCGGCGGACGGGUGAGUAACACGUGGGUAACCUGCCCAUAAGACUGGGAUAACUCCGGGAAACCGGGGCUAAUACCGGAUAACAUUUUGAACCGCAUGGUUCGAAAUCGAAAGGCGG